RNAcentral lists this long non-coding RNA (209 nucleotides) under Panax ginseng (ginseng). RNAcentral describes it as "long non-coding RNA (PGIN_LNC001280)". Lineage: Eukaryota; Viridiplantae; Streptophyta; Magnoliopsida; Apiales; Araliaceae. The record is from RNAcentral.
UUAAAGUGACGGGUAUACCCAUUAGGUUCAAUAAGUCUUUGGCUUGGUCACAAUCUCUUAACACAUGAAGAGUAGUCUCCUCCUGGUUUUUUAACAAAAAAGGCAUAUAUUUUCUUGUAUGAUUUGUCUAUGACAAAGGAGGCUUUUAGUUGGAAUUCGAUCUUGGACAGCAAGGCAAAGGAAGUCUUGUAGACGACGUGUGGUUUUUG